Molecule: ribosomal RNA, 406 nt
Filed under: uncultured bacterium
Lineage: Bacteria
Description: partial 16S ribosomal RNA
Rfam family: Bacterial small subunit ribosomal RNA
Source: RNAcentral
AUUGAACGCUGGCGGCAGGCCUAACACAUGCAAGUCGAGCGAGCGGCGGACGGGUGAGUAAUGUCUGGGGAACUGCCUGAUGGAGGGGGAUAACUACUGGAAACGGUAGCUAAUACCGCAUACUAUCGGAUGUACCCAUAUGGGAUUAGCUAGUAGGUGGGGUAAAGGCUCACCUAGGCGACGAUCCCUAGCUGGUCUGAGAGGAUGACCAGCCACACUGGAACUGAGACACGGUCCAGACUCCUACGGGAGGCAGCAGUGGGGAAUAUUGCACAAUGGGCGCAAGCCUGAUGCAGCCAUGCCGCGUGUAUGAAGAAGGCCUUCGGGUUGUAAAGUACUUUCAGCGGGGAGGCGUUACCCGCAGAAGAAGCACCGGCUAACUCCGUGCCAGCAGCCGCGGUAAUAC